UACGUAGGGGGCAAGCGUUGUCCGGAUUUAUUGGGCGUAAAGAGCGUGUAGGCGGUCAGGUAGGUCCGUUGUGAAAACUCGAGGCUCAACCUCGAGACGCCGAUGGAAACCAUCUGACUAGAGUCCGGAAGAGGAGAGUGGAAUUCCUGGUGUAGCGGUGAAAUGCGGCAGAUAUCAGGAAGAACACCAGUGGCGAAGGCGGCUCCACUGGCCCGGUAACUGACGCUGGAGGUGCGAAAGCGUGGGGAGCAAACAGG
Molecule: ribosomal RNA, 257 nt
Filed under: uncultured bacterium
Lineage: Bacteria
Description: partial 16S ribosomal RNA
Rfam family: Bacterial small subunit ribosomal RNA
Source: RNAcentral